CCUACGGGUGGCAGCAGUGAGGAAUAUUGGUCAAUGGGCGAGAGUCUGCACCAGCAAAGUCGCGUGAAGGAUGAAGGAUCUAUGGUUUGUACACUUCUUUUAUAUGGGCAUAAAGUGAGGAACGUGUUCCUUUUUGUAUGUAACAUAUGAAUAAGCAUCGGCUAACUCCGUGUCAGCAGCCGCGGUAAUACGGAGUAUGCGAGCGUUAUCCGGAUUUAUUGGGUUUAAAGGGUGCGUAGGUGGUUAAUUAAGUCAGCGAUGAAAGUUUGUGGCUCAACCAUAAGAUUGCCGUUGAAACUGGUUGACUUGAGUAUAUUUGAGGUAGGCGGAAUGCGUGGUGUAGUGGUGAAAUGCAUAGAUAUCAAGCAGAACUCCGAUUGCGAAGGCAGCUUACUAAACUAUAACUGACACUGAAGCACGAAAGCGUGGGGAUCAAACAGGAUUAGAUACCCGGGUAGUC
RNAcentral lists this ribosomal RNA (460 nucleotides) under uncultured bacterium. RNAcentral describes it as "partial 16S ribosomal RNA". It matches the Rfam family "Bacterial small subunit ribosomal RNA", at positions 338 to 795 of the family's 1533-position model. The record is from RNAcentral.